GACGAACGCUGGCGGCGUGCUUAACACAUGCAAGUCGAACGGUGAAGGGGAGCUUGCUCCCCGGAUCAGUGGCGAACGGUGAGUAACACGUGGGCAACCUGCCCCAGACUUCGGGAUAACGCUUCGAAAGAGGUGCUAAUACCGGAUACGAACUCCUUGGGCAUCCCGGGAGUUGGAAAGUUUUUUCGGUCUGGGAUGGGCCCGCGGCCUAUCAGCUUGUUGGUGAGGUAACGGCUCACCAAGGCGACGACGGGUAGCCGGCCUGAGAGGGCGACCGGCCACACUGGGACUGAGACACGGCCCAGACUCCUACGGGAGGCAGCAGUGGGGAAUAUUGCGCAAUGGGCGAAAGCCUGACGCAGCAACGCCGCGUGAGGGAUGACGGCCUCGGUGUAACCUCUUCUAGCAGGGAAGAAGCGAAAGUGACGGUACCUGCAGAAGAAGCACCGGCUAACUAACGUGCCAGCA
This 468-nucleotide ribosomal RNA is filed under the name uncultured bacterium. RNAcentral describes it as "bacterial SSU rRNA". It matches the Rfam family "Bacterial small subunit ribosomal RNA", at positions 28 to 513 of the family's 1533-position model. The record is from RNAcentral.